RNAcentral lists this ribosomal RNA (303 nucleotides) under uncultured bacterium. Its description in RNAcentral is "partial 16S ribosomal RNA". It matches the Rfam family "Bacterial small subunit ribosomal RNA", at positions 507 to 807 of the family's 1533-position model. The record is from RNAcentral.
AGCAGUCGCCGCGGGAAAACGAAGGGUGCAAGCGUUACUCGGAGUUACUGGGCGUAAAGCGUGUGUAGGUGGUUGUUUAAGUCUGUCGUGAAAGCCCUGGGCUCAACCUGGGAAUUGCGAUGGAUACUGGGCGACUAGAGUGCGGUAGAGGAUAGUGGAAUUUCCGGUGUAGCAGUGAAAUGCGUAGAGAUCGGAAGGAACAUCUGUGGCGAAGGCGACUAUCUGGGCCAACACUGACACUGAGACACGAAAGCGUGGGGAGCAAACAGGAUUAGAUACCCCGGUAGUCCCUGUCUCUUAUAC